RNAcentral lists this ribosomal RNA (1372 nucleotides) under uncultured bacterium. RNAcentral describes it as "bacterial SSU rRNA". It matches the Rfam family "Bacterial small subunit ribosomal RNA", at positions 28 to 1381 of the family's 1533-position model. The record is from RNAcentral.
GAUGAACGCUGGCGGCGUGCCUAAUACAUGCAAGUCGAGCGAACGGACGAGAAGCUUGCUUCUCUGAUGUUAGCGGCGGACGGGUGAGUAACACGUGGAUAACCUACCUAUAAGACUGGGAUAACUUCGGGAAACCGGAGCUAAUACCGGAUAAUAUUUUGAACCGCAUGGUUCAAAAGUGAAAGACGGUCUUGCUGUCACUUAUAGAUGGAUCCGCGCUGCAUUAGCUAGUUGGUAAGGUAACGGCUUACCAAGGCAACGAUGCAUAGCCGACCUGAGAGGGUGAUCGGCCACACUGGAACUGAGACACGGUCCAGACUCCUACGGGAGGCAGCAGUAGGGAAUCUUCCGCAAUGGGCGAAAGCCUGACGGAGCAACGCCGCGUGAGUGAUGAAGGUCUUCGGAUCGUAAAACUCUGUUAUUAGGGAAGGACAUAUGUGUAAGUAACUGUGCACAUCUUGACGGUACCUAAUCAGAAAGCCACGGCUAACUACGUGCCAGCAGCCGCGGUAAUACGUAGGUGGCAAGCGUUAUCCGGAAUUAUUGGGCGUAAAGCGCGCGUAGGCGGUUUUUUAAGUCUGAUGUGAAAGCCCACGGCUCAACCGUGGAGGGUCAUUGGAAACUGGAAAACUUGAGUGCAGAAGAGGAAAGUGGAAGUCCAUGUGUAGCGGUGAAAUGCGCAGAGAUAUGGAGGAACACCAGUGGCGAAGGCGACUUUCUGGUCUGUAACUGACGCUGAUGUGCGAAAGCGUGGGGAUCAAACAGGAUUAGAUACCCUGGUAGUCCACGCCGUAAACGAUGAGUGCUAAGUGUUAGGGGGUUUCCGCCCCUUAGUGCUGCAGCUAACGCAUUAAGCACUCCGCCUGGGGAGUACGACCGCAAGGUUGAAACUCAAAGGAAUUGACGGGGACCCGCACAAGCGGUGGAGCAUGUGGUUUAAUUCGAAGCAACGCGAAGAACCUUACCAAAUCUUGACAUCCUUUGACAACUCUAGAGAUAGAGCCUUCCCCUUCGGGGGACAAAGUGACAGGUGGUGCAUGGUAGUCGUCAGCUCGUGUCGUGAGAUGUUGGGUUAAGUCCCGCAACGAGCGCAACCCUUAAGCUUAGUUGCCAUCAUUAAGCUGGGCACUCUAAGUUGACUGCCGGUGACAAACCGGAGGAAGGUGGGGAUGACGUCAAAUCAUCAUGCCCCUUAUGAUUUGGGCUACACACGUGCUACAAUGGACAAUACAAAGGGCAGCGAAACCGCGAGGUCAAGCAAAUCCCAUAAAGUUGUUCUCAGUUCGGAUUGUAGUCUGCAACUCGACUACAUGAAGCUGGAAUCGCUAGUAAUCGUAGAUCAGCAUGCUACGGUGAAUACGUUCCCGGGUCU